UUCAGGCCCAUGUAGAAGGGGCUUGUGACCAUGACAAGAAAUUCAUGCCUCACAUUCAGUUUUUAGCACAAGGUAACAAUACUGACCUAAACUUUAUUUAUUUAUUUAUUUAUUUGUCGUUUUGCCGUUUCUUGGGCUGCUCUCGUGGCAUAUGGAUGUUCCCAGGCUAGGGGUCGAAUCGAAGCUGUAGCUGCCGGCCUAUACCAGAGCCACAGCAACGUGGGAUCCGAGCUGUGUCUGCGACCUACACCACAGCUCACAGCAACGCCAGAUGCCCAACCCACUGGGCAAGGCCAGGGAUCGAACCCGCAACCUCAUGGUUCCUAGUCAUAUUCGUUAACCACUGCACCUUGACGGGAACUCCUCUGACCUAAACUUUAAAGCAUUGUUUUAUAUUCAUUAUAGCUAUGUCUUAUAGCUCCCUCCAAUUUAAGGCAAAUAAUAUAUUCUUUACCCAUUUACAGUAGUGAUAUAAUCUUUUAAAAAAUAUGGUGAGUCAAUUUAAAGAGGAGUAUUGUAUAGAUAUUGAUGGUUUCAUAAUUACAGUAAAACCCAUGUGAGUUAUUCAAGAACAAAGUAUGUGAAGUCCUGCCCUCUCACAAAGCAAAUAGAUUACUGGGAGACACAGAAUAUUAAGCCGUGAGCAGGAAGUAGUUUAUCAAGGUGGAAAAGCUAUGUACCACCCAGUAUCCUUAAUGAGAGGACCCAGAAUAGGUUAACGUUAUAGCCAUAAGGCAGUGAGUUCUAACUUGACCUUUUCUGCCACACUAGCAGAUGUAGUUAGCACUCACAUUGGCCCCAGGACCUUUGAAAGUGAAGAAGAAAAGCAGUUUAAAUCUCAUUAGGUUUUUAACCUGGCAGUGUAUCAUUUUUCCCAUACUGCAGGGUCACAGGCUCCAUUAAUAUAAGGAGUUAAAGAUUACAUUCUGAGUGGCUGGCAACACCAUUCUCAAGUGCAUUACUCAUCUCAAGUUAGACGUCACAAGGGGAGCUGGCUAUCGCUUUCAAGCCAGUGGGUGUAAAACUUGCUGUUCCUUUCUAUUUGUCUGUGAGAUAAUUCUGGCUCUCCCUUUCCCUCCAGGAUACGGCUGCCAAAAAGAAUGAAUCUUGGUACCUACUCUAUUCAUAAUGAUCUCCGUAACAGGAGAAGUAAAUGUUUCUUGUUGCUAACUGGGAACAUUUCCCUCAAAUGAUUGCAAGUAGUAGGACUGCCUUCCAUUGAUGGAUAAUUCCAGCAGCACUUUUUUUUUUUUUUUUUUUUCCUUCUUCAGCAGAGUGGAGAUAGCGUCAUAGUGGGAUAAAAUGGGCUAGAGUUACUAGCUCUGACGUUCUAAUCUUGGGUCUUCCGCUGCCUAGCUCUCUCCUCUCCAGCCAGCCACUUAACCUCUUUUUGAAGUCAGCUUCCUCCAGAAGGAGACCUGGUCACAUGUACCUCUUGUCUGAGCACCAGAUAAGGCAGAACUGUAUAGAGGCAAUAGCCUAAUCCUCAGUGCAAAAGUGCUUUUCAGAAGUUUUUCUUUCCCCACACGCCCCCUCUUCACCCCAGGAUGUCUUAGACCGCUUAACUUCAUAUACUCUCCACCAAUGUCAAAGACUCCAGCUAGACUGAAAGCCUUUGCUUGUAUUGAAGAGCAGCCUUCUGUCUGGUUGUAGGCUUAUUAGCCAUGCAGCGUGAUAUAGUUGUAGAAAGAGUGGCCUUUCUUUUCUUUAUAUCUCUGUGUUGAUGGAUGUCAUCUAAAUGGAUAAUUUUUCAGGUUUUUUUGUUAUUUUUGUUUGUUGUGUUUUUCUUUUCUCUUUGUUUUUGCUUUCAGCCCUUGAAUUUCCACAUGAAUUUCCACAACAUAUAUGGAGUAUUUUAGUCACUUUUGAAUGCUUUGGUGUUUCAUCUUUAAUAAAGAACUAACAAUUAAAUUUAAUUCCCUCAAGUAUAAAGUAAAAUAUAUAUUGAGUGCAUUUCUACAACUUUUAUGACUAUAGAAAGUGACAAAUGGUUAUUUUGUAAAUUACUUUGUAACCCUCACCUUGAUGCCGAGGGUUCAAAGGAACAUGUAUGUAGAAAUCUUGAAAAAAUACAUCUUCUCAAAUAGUUUUUCUUAAAUAGAGAUGUCAUUUGUUAUUCACAAAACAUCCUUUGCCUUUUAGCAUCACCUGGAAUAUAGAGAACACGUACUCAUGUAUCUACUUGGGCUGAGAAUAAAUAGCCAAACUGAUCUUGGAAAUACAUAAAGAUGACAUUGUUAUCUUUUGCUUCAGCUGUUACCAAAGAAUUAGACUGGGUUAGACUGGGUAUUUGCCAGGCAGGCAGGAACACUGAAAGAACAGACUUCAUUUAAAAGUGGCAAUCUAGGGAGUUGCCUUCAUUGCUCAGCUGUUAACAUACCCAACUAGGAUCCACGAGGAUGUGGAUUCGAUCUCUGGCCUUGCUCAGUGGGUUAAGGAUCUGGCAUUGCUGUGAGCUGUGAUGUAGGUUGCAGUCACAGGUCGAAUCCCAUGUUGCUGUGGCUGUGGUGUAGGCUGGGGGCUGCAGCUCUGAUUCAACCCCUAGCCUGCGAACCUCUGUAUGCCUUGGAUGUGGCGGUAAAAAGCAAAAAAAAAAGUAAAAGUGGCAAUCUAGGAGUUUCCCACAAUGGUGCCAUGGGUUAAGAAUCUGACUGCAGUGACUUGAGCUGCUGUGGAGGUGCAGGUUUGAUCCCUGGCCGGAUUCAGUGGGUUAAAGGAUCUGGGAUUGCCACAGCUGCAGCGUAGGUCACAGCUGCAGCUCAGAUUCAAUCCCUGGCCCAGGAACUUCCAUAUGUCACAAGUGAAGCCAUAAAAAUAAAAAAUAAAAUAAAAUGGAUCUGCUAAAAGUGGUAUCUUGUGUGGACAAACUACUUUGUAUUCUUGAGCUAAUAGUUUGCAGAAAGCAAGAGGCACCUGGUCUUUCAGAACCCUGCCCCACCCAUUGUUAACUCCUGCUAGUUAUUUUGUGCAUGAUGCUCUAGUGGACUGAAAAAGCAAGUUGACUUCUAAAACUUAUGUUUAAAUAAAAACACAACAUAUAUGGAGUAUUUUAGUCACUUUU
This 3061-nucleotide long non-coding RNA is filed under the name Sus scrofa (pig). RNAcentral's name for it is "lncRNA (ENSSSCG00035045122.1)". Lineage: Eukaryota; Metazoa; Chordata; Mammalia; Artiodactyla; Suidae. The record is from RNAcentral.